RNAcentral lists this long non-coding RNA (3817 nucleotides) under Homo sapiens (human). RNAcentral's name for it is "non-protein coding HNF1A-AS1:12". The record is from RNAcentral. Lineage: Eukaryota; Metazoa; Chordata; Mammalia; Primates; Hominidae.
ACUCCAGCCUCCUUGCAAGCUUGGGGCGCCUCAUUCUCUCCCGUGCCCCUUCUCCCAGCUGGGUCUGAGCCCCCGCCCCCCUGGCUCCUCCGUUCUGCUUCUCCCAGCUUCUCUGUCCAUCUCCCCCAAUGGCCUCUCUCUACACUCUCUGCCUCAGCUUCCAGGUCUCUGCUGGUCCCUAGGAAGCACUUUGACCUCUGCUUCCCCUUCAAAUGCUGUGGAUCAAGCCUCCCCAACCCCACCAUCCCACCAAAGGGGGCUGCUGACCGAGAGAGCUCACUCAGCCAGGUAAGAAAGCAUCCCCUGCCCCCACCCUCACCCCAAAGCCCCCAGUCCCAUCUGGGGCCCUGGGCAGGUCAGGCCCAGCCCCACCCCGUCAGGUUGCCUUCGCCCUGGGUCUGGGAUGCCUGACUCUUUGCCCCUCCCCUGCAGCUCUGGAGUCCUUUGCCCUCCUCUUCCUGCCAAGUCAGGGGGCCCUGACUGCUCCCCUGCCCCCUGUCCAGGCCCUCGGGAGGCUCCCUGAGGCCUCUGGGAAAGCAGGAAUCCACCAGCCCUCCCCCACCCCAGCUGGGAUCAGGACCUUGGACAGAAAAGAGAUGGGCCCCUUUGGAGCAUCUUUGGGGCUCGGUCUCUCUCUGACUCCCUGGCCACCCCCUGCAGGCCUCUGGUCCCCGGUCAUAGCAAUUGAGAGCACCGAACAGAGUAGGUUUGGGGCCUCAGUUUGGUGAACUUAGUCUAGCUCCUUCCCGGCUCUAAGCCCCAGUUUCCCCAUUUGUGAAGCAGAGUCACCAAUAGCUUCUGCCCAGGACUCCUCACCAUGAAGGGAAAUUAUUCCUGUGAAACCUCAGCACAGCGCCCAGGAAGUAGUGAACCUCCUCAAGCAGGCGCUGUAGGGUGGAGGUCAGGGAGCCGCUGGGGAGGGGUGGCCCCUGUAGCCCCCAGGCCAUCCUUCCUUCUCCCCCACACCCCCAUCCCCCACCCCCACUAGGUGGGAGGUGGGUUGGCCCAGAUCUUUCCAGGCCACCAUUCCUACAAGUUAAUGAUCACAGACCUUAUCAGAGCCUUUUGCCAUUUAUAAAUUUAUAAAACAAAAGAGAAAUAAUAAAGCACAUGGGUAAUUAGUAACUAGGUCAGCUCUGCUGAGGAGAGGGGAGGCAUCGAGCUCAGGACCCACCCAGUUCUCCAGGAGACGGGGAGUCCGCCAGCGGAUGGGGAUGUAGAACGGGCAGCCUCUAAUGGCGCCUGCUGGUGAGGUGGGGUGCCUGUGGCCAUACAGGAAAGGGGAGCAGCUCCCACCUCGAGGCUCUGUCUGCCUCAGGUAAGAAAGACCUGGGCUUCCCUGGCUAAACGCAUGAGUCCCUAGGAGGCCAGGAAAGCCCCCAAACCCCAGCUUCGGGCCCUCCUCCCUGGCAGUGCUUCCUGGGCCCCGGAGCCUACCCACUGAGGACUCAGUGCAGGAGUUAGGGUCUGGAGAGUAUAAAUGAUCAGAGUGGCUAAAAAUUUCCACCACCUCCCAGUUCUCCAGGCAUUUGAGUUGUGAACUCACCUGCUUUUUCUCCCAUCUUGGACCCCCCUGGGAAAUGUCCCCCUUGCCCAAGGACUGGGCUAAAGGCCUGGGCUCAUGGGAUUUGGGACUCUGCAGAGGAGCAGUUCAGGGGCUGGAGGCUCAAACCUCCAAGCAAGGACCCCUGGGCUCUCAUGGGCCCUGUCCCCCUUCCCAGCAACUAGGCUAAAGGCUGAAGGUCAUGGGGACUCAACUCAGAAGGGGGGCUCGUUAGGAGCUGAGGGGGGCCCCUCUAGGCUCUCCUGGGAGCGGGGACGGGGCAGGGCUCCUUACUGCAGAAGGGUCUCCACCACGGCUUUCUGGUGGGCCGCCUCCUCAGGGCUGAGGUUCUCCAGCUCUUUGAGGAUGGGUGGCGUGAAGUCUUCCCCAUCGUCGUCCGUCUCGUCCUCGGAGCCCCGAGUCUCCCCCAGCCCAUUGGGCAGCUCAGCCAGCUCCCCUCGACCGCCGCCGCAGGACUCCCCCUUGUCCAGGGGGCCUUCUCCAGCCAGGAGGUAGGGCCCCGGCUCACCCAGUGCCUGGAUCAGUGCCUCUUUGCUCAGCCCUGACUCGAGCAGGGCCGCCAGGAGCUCCGUCUGCAGCUGGCUCAGUUUAGAAACCAUGGCUCGGCUGCCACAGGGCCACGCGGCCCGGGUCCACCACGCUAGCCGCCUCCCCCACCGCGUGGGUUGCGUUUGCCUGCCGGCCGGCAGACACAAACCAAACUCCUUGCACCCACUGCCCCCCCAAAACCCCACUAGCCAAGCCCUGUGGGCACCCCCAACCCCCAACCCUGGCCCCAGCGGCCCGUGAAUCAGGGCCCCUGCCUGUUCUGUUUACAUUGGAGCUGGGGAAAUUCUCCAAGGUUCAUAUUUAUCCGUGUGCUUAGCGAAGGGACUGAACUUUGGACUUCAGCCCUGCAAAGUGCAGGCCUCAUGGCAGCGGAGAGGGACAGGGAGCUAUGGCCUGCGAUGGGAGUGGGCAGAGGGGAGGGUGGGGGAGGCGCAGGUGAGGGGCCCUGAGCAGCUGGGAUGGAAGGUGCUGGGAGCCAGGGAGGCCAUCAGGAGAGCAGCGUUGGGUCCCACCCCCGAAAGAACCUUGUAGGGGCAUCAUGCUGAGACAGGAGAGCCAAAAAUGCUUGCUGCUUACGAGAGCGGCAGCAGCAGGGAGCUCUAGACAGCUGGGCUAGCUCUUCUCAAGGGCAGAGGAUGCUCACGGCCAUUUUGGGGCCCUUCCAUCCAUUUUGGGACCCUUCCACCCCACUCCCGGCCUGACACCAGGCCUCCCUGUAGGAAAAAAUAUGUUAAGAUUACCAUGUGCCAAGAACAGUGCUGGCUCUGUGAGGGCGAAUUCACUUCAUUGCAUUCUGCUACCAACUGUGAGCAGUUACAGAGAUUAUCCCCAUUUUAUAGAGGAGGAAAUCGAGGCUCUGAGCGGUUAAGUAACUUGUCCAGGGUCAUACAGCCAGCAAGGCAGAAAACAUGCAAGGUGAGACUGAGUUGGGAUGAGUGUGACACUUGCCUCAGGUGCAAAUUUAUUUUUUUAUUUUUUGAGCUAUGUUCUCACUUUGUCACCCAGGCUGGAGUGCUGUGGCGCGAUCAUGGCUUACUGCAGCCUUGACUUCCUGGGUUCAGGUGAUCCUCCCGCCUCAGCCACCCAAGUACCCAAGUAGCUGGCACUACAGGCACGCACCACGACACCCAGCUGAUUUUGUGUGUGUGUGUUGUGUGUGUUUGGGUUGUGUGUGUGUGUGUUUUUGAGACAGAGUCUCACUCUGUCACCCAGGCUUGGAGUGCAGUGGAGCAAUCUUGGCUCACUGCAACCUCCGCCUCCCAGGUUCAAGCGAUUCCCCUGCCUCAGCCUCCGGAGUAGCUGGGAUUACAGGCACAUACCACUACACCCGGCUAAUUUUUUUGUAUUCUUUAUUGAGUUGGGGUUUCACCAUGUUGGCCAGGCUGGUCUUGAACUCUUGACCUCAAGUGAUUCGUCCGCCUCGGCCUCCCAAAGUGCUGGGAUUACAGGUGUGAGCCACUGUGCCCGGCCUUGUGUGUGUAUUUUUUGUGGAGACAGGGUCUUGCCAUGCUGCCCAGGUUGGUCUCAAACUCCUGGACUCAAGCCAUCCGCCCACCUCAGCCUCCCAAAGUGUUAGGAUUACAGGCGUGCGCCACCAUGCCUGGCAGCCCAGGUGCAAAUUUUAAGGGAAUGCCAAAAAACCCAGUCAUCAAGGUAAAUAACAUUUUUAUGCAAUAUGUUUUUAAAAUUAAAAUGAAUGCAAAA